RNAcentral lists this ribosomal RNA (440 nucleotides) under uncultured bacterium. RNAcentral describes it as "partial 16S ribosomal RNA". It matches the Rfam family "Bacterial small subunit ribosomal RNA", at positions 338 to 795 of the family's 1533-position model. The record is from RNAcentral.
CCUACGGGUGGCAGCAGUGGGGGAUAUUGCACAAUGGGGGAAACCCUGAUGCAGCGACGCCGCGUGUGGGAAGACGGUCCUCUGGAUUGUAAACUACUGUUCCCAGGGACGAAGCUGACGGUACCUGGGGUUGAAGCUCCGGCAAACUACGUGCCAGCAGCCUCGGUACUACGUAGGGAGCGCGCGUUGUCCGGAAUUACUGGGUGUAACGGGAGCGUAGGCGGGACUGCAAGUUGGGUGGCAAAUCUACCGGCUCAACCGGUAGCCGCACUCAAAACUGCAGUUCUUGAGUGAGGUGGAGGCAGGCGGAAUUCCUGGUGUAGCGGUGAAAUGCGUAGAUAUUAGGAGGAACACCAGUGGCGAAGGCAGCCUGCUGGGCUGUGACUGACGCUGAGGCUCGAAAGUGUGGGGAGCGAACAGGAUUAGAUACCCGAGUAGUC